RNAcentral lists this ribosomal RNA (576 nucleotides) under Dacryopinax martinii. RNAcentral describes it as "partial large subunit ribosomal RNA". It matches the Rfam family "Eukaryotic large subunit ribosomal RNA", at positions 36 to 653 of the family's 3401-position model. Lineage: Eukaryota; Fungi; Basidiomycota; Dacrymycetes; Dacrymycetales; Dacrymycetaceae. The record is from RNAcentral.
AAGCAUAUCAAUAAGCGGAGGAAAAGAAACUAACAAGGAUUCCCCUAGUAACUGCGAGUGAAGCGGGAAAAGCUCAAAUUUAAAAUCCUUCGGGAAUUGUAGUCUCGAGAAGCGUUUUCGGCCGUGGCCUCGGACAAGUCCCUUGGAACAGGGCGUCAUAGAGGGUGAGAAUCCCGUCCUUGCCGAGCACACCAUGUCUAUGUGAUACGCUUUCGAAGAGUCGAGUUGUUUGGGAAUGCAGCUCAAAAUGGGUGGUAAACUCCAUCUAAAGCUAAAUAUUGGCGAGAGACCGAUAGCGAACAAGUACCGUGAGGGAAAGAUGAAAAGCACUUUGGAAAGAGAGUUAAACAGUACGUGAAAUUGUUGAAAGGGAAGCGCUUGAAGUCAGUCGCGUCUCCGGAGACUCAGCCUCACGGCGCAUUUCUUCGUUGACGGGCCAACAUCAGUUUUGGCCGCGGGAAAAGGACCUGGGGAAUGUGGCAGCUCCGGCUGUGUUAUAGCCUCUUGUCGUACACCGCGGCUGGGACUGAGGACUGCUUAACAGGAUGUUGGCGUAAUGGCUUUAAGCGACCCGUC